Long non-coding RNA from Capsicum annuum, 752 nucleotides. RefSeq lists it as uncharacterized. The record is from RefSeq and is a predicted model, not a curated record. NCBI's taxonomy places the organism in Eukaryota, Viridiplantae, Streptophyta, Magnoliopsida, Solanales, Solanaceae. The transcript is spliced from 3 exons.
CAACAAAUCAACAAAAUAUACUAAUUGAAAUACGAAAUCUCUCAAUUAAUAGUGGUAUUUAAGGCGUUGAAUUUGAUUAAAAUACUGACUAAAGUAUUUUAAUUGAAAUUGCGGUUAUUCAAAGGAAAAAAAAUUAAAAACAACGGAUUGGUUGUGUAAAACAUGAAGGGUAAUAAUUUACCCUCAAUCAUGAUACAACAUGAAGCUGAAGUUAUUCAAAAUGAAAAAAAAAAUGAAAAAGACAUAAUGAUAUUCUCAUAAUAUGGGUGGUGAUAAUUUACAUUCAAUCACGAUACAACAUGGAGGAAGCUGAAAUGUCACAUGUAUAUUUGAAUCAAGAAAAGGUGAAUAGAAAUUUCUUCAUCAAGUAUCCAUUGUGUAUAACGUUGAGGGAUGUGAUUAUGGAUGUAAUAGUGUGGUGUCGAAUUCAUUGUUGAUGAAAACAGUUUACAUUCAACUAAAGGAAUUCGGGUGAUAAAGAAUCUUAUUCAAAUAAUCAAUUCGGGCCAAAGCAAUAAUCAUUCAAAUGUAGAAGAUCUACCAAUUCAACCAUUAAACAUGAUAUGGUUAGUCGUUUUUGUUUUACCACUAAGAUACACAUUGAUUUUAUUGUAUUGUAUUCAAGAGGUCUAUAAAUUAAUAUUGUAUGAAAAAGGUAUAUAAAUAGAUGUCUCAUAUAAUGUGAUUAGUUAUUUCGUAUGUAUGAAAAGGGUAUUUAAAAAUGAUACUUCAUGACGUGAUUAGUUGUUUCA